GACCCUAUCAUCUAGUGGUUAGGAUACAACCCUCUCAAGGUUGGUACACGGGUUCAAAUCCCGUUAGGGUCGCCA
RNAcentral lists this transfer RNA (75 nucleotides) under Alphaproteobacteria bacterium. RNAcentral describes it as "tRNA-Glu". It matches the Rfam family "tRNA". Rfam says of the family: Transfer RNA (tRNA) molecules are approximately 80 nucleotides in length. Their secondary structure includes four short double-helical elements and three loops (D, anti-codon, and T loops). Further hydrogen bonds mediate the characteristic L-shaped molecular structure. tRNAs have two regions of fundamental functional importance: the anti-codon, which is responsible for specific mRNA codon recognition, and the 3' end, to which the tRNAs corresponding amino acid is attached (by aminoacyl-tRNA synthetases). tRNAs cope with the degeneracy of the genetic code in two manners: having more than one tRNA (with a specific anti-codon) for a particular amino acid; and 'wobble' base-pairing, i.e. permitting non-standard base-pairing at the 3rd anti-codon position. Lineage: Bacteria; Pseudomonadati; Pseudomonadota; Alphaproteobacteria. The record is from RNAcentral.